This 147-nucleotide unclassified non-coding RNA is filed under the name uncultured Chaetosphaeriaceae. Its description in RNAcentral is "sequence contains ITS2". Lineage: Eukaryota; Fungi; Ascomycota; Sordariomycetes; Chaetosphaeriales; Chaetosphaeriaceae. The record is from RNAcentral.
CAACCCUCAGGCCCUGCCUGGCGUUGGAGGACUGCGCACGCAGCCUCCCAAAGCGAGCGGCGGCGGCGCCCCGAAACCGAACGCAGUAGUUACUUCUCGUUCCGGGUCCGGGUCGUUGUCCUGCCGGAAAACCCCCCUCUAAUCAAU